Long non-coding RNA from Sapajus apella (tufted capuchin), 1344 nucleotides. RefSeq lists it as uncharacterized. The transcript has 2 exons. Lineage: Eukaryota; Metazoa; Chordata; Mammalia; Primates; Cebidae. The record is from RefSeq and is a predicted model, not a curated record.
CUAUAUGCAAAUACUAUACCGUUUUAUUAAUAUAUAAGGGAUUUGAGCAUCCAAUGGAACCAAUCCUACACAGAUACCAAGGGACCGCUAUAUCCCGCGUUUUCUGUAUUUGUUGCCUGUAUUAAAUCACAAGCCUCCAAGGAAAAAGAAAAUAUCACAAGCCUUCAGUUAUCUUGGUCCCCAAUGUAGUAUAAUCUUUUCUUUCUCAUUCUUGUGCCUUGUCGUGUAGCACAUGUUUACAUUCAAUUUAGAAUUUCAUAUUCAUUCAUUCUAGUAUUUCAUUACUUAGUACUUCGUUAUUCUAUGUUGUUUUGUAUUUAUUUAACAGGUUUAUGUCUUCAUUCAAUAAAUUUGUAAUUUCCUGGAGAUUAAGACUUUUCCAUCACUGUAGGAGGUUUGUAAUGUUUUCAAAUUAAUAUAUGAGAAAGGAGGCACAAAUAUUAUAUUAAAAGGAUUUAACAAAUAAAAACUUUGUGUUUCUAGAAUGUAGCUUUAAGACACAUUCAAGGAAAAUACUUUCAGAUAAUCAUUACUUUUGAUGCUUGGCCUCAAUUCCUAUUUGGCUUAGCUUCAUCAUUGGUGGCCUAGAACUUGGCUGAUAAGUAGGAGAGCUGGAAGCAAGGCUGGCUGCCUGGCAAAACCUACUUAUGUUGACUUGGAUUGCUUUUGAUCUUAUUUGCUAUUUUAUCAACUAUUUUUAUACUCCUAAAUGAGUAGAAUUUCUGUGGUUUUUAUAGAAGAAUGAGAACCAGAAAAGCCAGACUAUUUACAACACUUUAAAAAUGUGACAGUAGUCCUAUAAUAGUACUGAAGCUACUUGUUAUGAGACUGUGUUAAUUUGUUUUAUGAUUAGCGUAGGAAGAAGCAGCUGAGGUGAUAUGUCCCAUCUGUCUGCUUUCCUCUUCCUUCUCUUUCACCCUCGAGGAAGAUGCUGGAGAUUCUUCAGGGAAGAAUAAAAAGAUUAAAUUUAGAAUAUAUUUGUAUUUGUGUUAAGAAAAUGCUUCUUGGGUUUGCUUAUAGGUCCAGUUAUUGCUUUGGAGUUUAAUGGAGAUGAUGCUGUAGAAGGAUGUCAACUUAUUGUAAACGAGACAUUCAAUGGGACCAAGAUGUUUGUAUCAGAAAGCAAAGAGACAGCAUCUGGAGAUGUGGACAGCUUCUACAACUUCGCUGAUAUACAGAUGGGAAUAUGAAGUGCAAUGUGGAACCAGGACUUGGUAUUAAGCCUUUCCCAACUUGUGAAUAUAGAAUUUGAUAAUAUACUUUUGUGUAUUAGCAAUGGUUUUUGCUAAUGCUAAAACUGUUGAAGUUUAUUUUUGAAUCAAUUGUUGAAUAUUACAUCAUUUA